CGGCCGAAGGUGGGAUUAGUGAUUGGGGUGAAGUCGUAACAAGGUAGCCGUAGGAGAACCUGCGGCUGGAUCACCUCCUUUCUAAGGAGUA
RNAcentral lists this ribosomal RNA (91 nucleotides) under Clostridium niameyense. RNAcentral describes it as "partial 16S ribosomal RNA". The stretch from base 1 to 81 matches the Rfam family "Bacterial small subunit ribosomal RNA", at positions 1453 to 1533 of the family's 1533-position model. Lineage: Bacteria; Bacillati; Bacillota; Clostridia; Eubacteriales; Clostridiaceae. The record is from RNAcentral.